Molecule: ribosomal RNA, 479 nt
Filed under: uncultured organism
Description: bacterial SSU rRNA
Rfam family: Bacterial small subunit ribosomal RNA
Source: RNAcentral
GAUGAACGCUAGCGGGAGGCCUAACACAUGCAAGCCGAGCGGUAGAAAUCUUUCGGGAUUUUGAGAGCGGCGUACGGGUGCGUAACACGUGUGCAACCUGCCUUUAUCAGGGAGAUAGCCUUUCGAAAGGAAGAUUAAUAUCCCGUAACAUAUUAAGUGGCAUCAUUUGAUAUUGAAAGCUCCGGCGGAUAGAGAUGGGCACGCGCAAGAUUAGAUAGUUGGUGAGGUAACGGCUCACCAAGUCGACGAUCUUUAGGGGGUCUGAGAGGAUUAUCCCCCACACUGGUACUGAGACACGGACCAGACUCCUACGGGAGGCAGCAGUGAGGAAUAUUGGACAAUGGGUGAGAGCCUGAUCCAGCCAUCCCGCGUGAAGGAUGACGGUCCUAUGGAUUGUAAACUUCUUUUGUAUAGGGAUAAACCUAGUCUCGUGAGGCUAGCUGAAGGUACUAUACGAAUAAGCACCGGCUAACUCCGUG